This 478-nucleotide ribosomal RNA is filed under the name uncultured bacterium. RNAcentral's name for it is "partial 16S ribosomal RNA". It matches the Rfam family "Bacterial small subunit ribosomal RNA", at positions 28 to 507 of the family's 1533-position model. The record is from RNAcentral.
GAUGAACGCUGGCGGCGUGCUUAACACAUGCCAGUCGAACGAGAAGUGGAGACGGAAACCUUCGGGCGGAAGACUUUAUUUCGAGUGGCGGACGGGUGAGUAACGCGUGGGUAACCUGCCUCAUACAGGGGGAUAACAGUUGGAAACGACUGUUAAUACCGCAUAAGACCACAGCACCGCAUGGUGCGGGGGUAAAAACUCCGGUGGUAUGAGAUGGACCCGCGUUCGAUUAGCCAGUUGGCGGGGUAACGGCCCACCAAAGCGACGAUCGAUAGCCGAUCUGAGAGGAUGACCGGCCACAUUGGGACUGAGACACGGCCCAAACUCCUACGGGAGGCAGCAGUGGGGAAUAUUGCACAAUGGGGGAAACCCUGAUGCAGCGACGCCGCGUGAGUGAAGAAGUAUUUCGGUAUGUAAAGCUCUAUCAGCAGGGAAGAAAAUGACGGUACCUGAGUAAGAAGCCCCGGCUAACUACGUG